Molecule: ribosomal RNA, 381 nt
Filed under: uncultured fungus
Lineage: Eukaryota; Fungi
Description: SSU rRNA
Rfam family: Eukaryotic small subunit ribosomal RNA
Source: RNAcentral
CGUGUGGUUCUAUUUUGUUGGUUUCUAGGACCGCCGUAAUGAUUAAUAGGGACAGUCGGGGGCAUCAGUAUUCAAUUGUCAGAGGUGAAAUUCUUGGAUUUAUUGAAGACUAACUACUGCGAAAGCAUUUGCCAAGGAUGUUUUCAUUAAUCAGGAACGAAAGUUAGGGGAUCGAAGACGAUCAGAUACCGUCGUAGUCUUAACCAUAAACUAUGCCGACUAGGGAUCGGACGAUGUUAUUUUUUGACUCGUUCGGCACCUUACGAGAAAUCAAAGUGCUUGGGCUCCAGGGGGAGUAUGGUCGCAAGGCUGAAACUUAAAGAAAUUGACGGAAGGGCACCACCAGGGGUGGAGCCUGCGGCUUAAUUUGACUCAACACGG